Phasianus colchicus (ring-necked pheasant) is the source of this 6370-nucleotide long non-coding RNA. RefSeq lists it as uncharacterized. The record is from RefSeq and is a predicted model, not a curated record. Lineage: Eukaryota; Metazoa; Chordata; Aves; Galliformes; Phasianidae.
ACAUAGACAUGUGCACCGGGUGGUACUGGGGGAAAACAUGGGGGAGAAUGAAGAGGGUGCCUGCCCUGCCCUGGGGGAUGGCACUGUGGGUCCCUGCCCAUGGCUCUAUCCUUCUUUAUCCCCCAGGCACAGCCUGAGGUUGUCUUAACCGAGGACACCUUUCCCCAUUCCUGAGCUCUCCUUAUGGAGCCACAUCCUUCCAAUGCACUUGGAAUAACGAGAUGGUCCCUUGGAGCAAAGCUGACCCCAAAUGACCCAAAGGGCAGGCAGGUUGGGCUCAGAUAAGGUAAAAACACCUUUGGGUCAGGUAGAAAAAAGCUGCAGCAACCCUACCAUGCCAUCCAUCUGUGCUUGCUUGGGGAAGGAGAUUGCUGCACACGUUGGGGCUGCAAACGUGCAUGGCAUUGCCCAGGGGAACAGAGAGCUCUCUGCAUGUCAGAAGCCAAAGGAGCUCCCUGAGGGGAUGGGCUGAGAGGAAAAUGGACUGAGAGGUGGAAAGCUGUAGGUGCAUAGGAGUUGCUGUCCCCACUGUCCCCACAGCUCAGGACUAGCAGGAGUGCAGUGAGGCGCCAGGUCAUGCCAAGCCACAUGAUCUGCGGGGUCGGAGCAGCGACAACAACAGGAACAAUCUGUGGGAGAGGAACUUAGGAUGAGCCCAACUUCUCUAAAAGUAUAAAAAGACCCCGGGGGCCACAAAGGCACCAACUGCACACCCUCCUCUGCCGCCGCUGCCACCACGCAGCCCCUGACGGUUGGAGCUGGCGUUGCCCUGGCGUUGUGCAAUACAGUGGCUGUGCUCUCGGCAUCAGCUCGCUGCUCGCUUUCUCUGCCAGAAAAGGAAACACAACCGCACCGAUGUGCCUUUGCAAGAGAGCAAACGGCUCUGCCCUGCAUGGGCUGCGUGCGGGGGGAUGCUGGCACGGAAAGGGAGAGUGAGCAAACAGCACCUCAAAUCCCAUUAGAAAGCAGCAGAGGAGGAAACUGCGAGGAAAUUGCAAGGAAAUCUGCUUCCUGUAAGAGAGACUCACGCAGCUCAAAGCGGGAGUGGAGCCGCUUCAUUCAAUCUGCUGACAACUCAAGCAGAUUGGCAGCACCUUGCUGGCUGGCCAAAUGCUCGCAGCAGGUUGCUCCUGCUGUGCAUGCUCUUCUUUUGUAAAGAAAUCCCCCCCCCCAGCCCCAGGUAGUGCAGCAGGAAAGUGACAGCCUGAAAGGACCACAGCACUGUGCUUUGGAAAUGGAGAAGUGCUGUUGCCCUGCUGCUUGGCAUGCAGAUUGUUCACUCCAUAGGCAGCAGGGAUGUGGUGCUCAGAGCUCAACCUCAGCUUGGGGCAUCCUUCCUCAAGCAUAGAGCUGUACCCUUAUCCACUGAGCCUCCAGGUCAGCAGCUCCAACAGGGACCAUGCAGCAGCCUGCAAUUUAAGGAUUUUAGCUUGACUUCACUCUGGAGAGUAAAAUGUUUUGGUGAUUGGAGAGAAUGGACUAGUGGUCCAAUGAUGGUAAACUCUGAGCACUCCUGCUCAAACCCCUGGGGGGGGAUGGUCACAAAUCCGUAGCAGAGAUUCCAGGAAUUCUGAUUUAUAACCAAUAGCAAUGGGGAAGAAGCAGGCAGAGAUGUAGCUUCUGACUUGAAAGUACUGCUUGGAGGUGGACACCUGCUAUGCAGUGCUGAAGGGGAAGGUCCUCGGUAUUCAGGCUGCUCUCCUUCACAUGUCACCUCCUGAUGCUGGGAGAUGUCCCAGGGCUGAAAAGGAAAGUGAAAGCCCUCUGUCAUGCCCAUUUCCCCUCAGCAAUGCUUGUUCACCUGGAGAGCUUGCACAGAGUGAUGGACUGGGAAGGUAACCUCAUCUCCAGGCAGUGCAGGGAUGAAACCCCUCUGUGCCCCUCCUGUUCUGCUGCAUGACCCUCCUGCUCCCCAUGCGUGGGUCUGGACCCAUCCCAGCUGCUGGAGGUCUCCUGGGGACAUGGGAUUUGCCCAGAAGCAUGAAAAGAUAUUCAUACAGCUACUGGGAGGCGGGGUUGUGAAAGGCCAGCGCACUUUUUUUUUUCCUCUAACAAAUGACCUUUGUCUUUCCUUUUAUUUUCAUUUUCAGGCUCUGGCCUUCCAGAGGUCAGGCGGUUUAAGAAUCUUGGCAGGAUGAAAAAAGCAGGAUUCAUCCCCCUAAUUGCUUUAUCUCUCUGGCCACCACGUCAUCCUGCUUCGGCCAAGGUCAGUAAUUUUCCUAAAUCAUCAUAUCCCAGAACGCCACAAGUCAGAGCCCGGAGGACACAUGGAACUCAUGUCAAAAGGCACAGCCUUUGCACGAACACCCAUCGCCUCCUCGGCUUUGUCUCUCCACUUGAGAGUCUGUUCAGUUCUUGUUUUGCAGAAAAAGGAAGAAUGAUUCUGAUGUAACAACAGGACUCCGGGAGCUGGAGAUUUAUGGUGGAAAAAAAAAAGCAAAUAGCAAGCAGCUCUUGAUCAAGUGGUGAGAAAGCAUCUGCAGCGAGCUGUCAUUGCUUUGCCUCUUGAGUAUGGCUGAUUGCAUGGGGUCGUACCCACCUGGGGCAAGGAGCUGCCCUAAGCAUCCAUCAGCUAGAUGCGCUGCUCUUAAUUAACCCUGAUUAAUUACCAGGUGAGAACACGUCCUCCCCUGUGCACUGAGAGCAGCACAACCAACCUGCAGUUAAACAUUGACAAGUUGCCUCCACGGUGGAUUUCCAGGAAUCUGUUGAGCUAAGUAAUUGGAUCAUCAGCUCUUUGAAAGUAGAAGUGGCACAAGUGCUUUGCUUUCAUCUCUCUCACAGUUCCAAUAGGUUUGUGUGAUGAAGACCCAACCAGUGCCCAACCUGACAUUAUUCAACCCACUUUCAGCAGUGGCACCUCUAUUUUUUCACUUGUAAUUUGCUCCACGUUCUGUCCAAGUCUGGAAUUUAAAUACAGUGAGAUCACAUCCGUGAAUUUUUCUGCUAUUUGUGAAGGUACUCAAGAUGCCCAACAGUUCCUCCACUGUAUCUCAAGGCCUUCUGGGACUCCAUUUUUGAGCCAAGACUGUGCCCACAAGAGGCGUCACCUCCUGCCUGAGGCCAGAUUUUGACCAUAAAAGGGAAGAAUGGAAUGUUGGACGACAGCCCCGAUUGGCUGAGCACCUUCUCGUGAUGGUUUCGGGGGAAAUAACCAGGUCGGAGUCAUUUUCCUCUCCCCCCGUCCCGAGUCAAGAAUGAAAACAAUGAGACCAAACCGUGUGGUUCACCAUUGAAACCAAGACAGGACUUUUUGUGUCUGUGCCUCCUACUGUUUUUGGUUCCACCUGCAUGAAACUGAGCCCUCACUUCUGUGUGUGCGCGGCAGCUCUGCUUCCCAUCCAACAUCUCUGUGGCCACCACUGGUUGAUGCUAUCUUGGAGGUGAAUGGGAGUGAUUUGGUGGCCACGUUGGCCAGGAACCACAACUGCCUUCUGCCAACCUGUUGGGAGAACCCAAGAACCUCCUUCUUGUGGUUGUGUAUCCUAUAUCCACAACCAAAACCUGGCAGAACAAAGUGCCUUUGUGCUUGGACAUCCCUCCCACCCAGCUGCACUGUGGCUGCCCUCAUUAGAUAAUUUCUAUGGUUAAAAUAGGACUUCACUCUCGUGACUCAUUUGCCUAAAAUGUGCCACCAGCACUGACUUACAACCUUUAAUAAAAAUGAUAAAGAAGCUGAGAAGGUUUCCUGGAAACGUUGUCAGCCUUGAGUUGGGAGCAGAUGUUGGCAGCAAGCAAAGUUCUUUCAAGCUAUAAAGGCAUUUUCCUGUUUAAUGAUUACCCUGAGAAAUCUCGAGGCUGAAUCAGCUUCACCCUUCUGGGAAAGCCGCACCCAGAGAAAUUCUCCUCUCGUCGCCUUCACCCAGUGGGAACAAGCUGGUGCUGUGGGUAACACUGGCCCUGAAGCCAGAAGCUGCUCCCAGUUGUCACCAAUUUCUUCCUGUUUGCCCUCCAUUUGGGGCAGCUCUGGUGCUAGUCCUAGUGGGCUCUGAGCCAGCCCUGGUUAAGAAGAAAUUCUUCUAUUAGCUGCAUUCUCAAGGUACGGUGUUUUUCCUACAAAAACUCUUCUCAGCCCCCUGCUUGCAGGAAUCCCUUUUGCAAGGGGAACAUUCCCAGUGCUGGUUGUUCCAGUGCUCACUGAAGCUGCUUUGGUACUAAGUGCAAAUCUUCUUCCCUGUUGCUCCUGAUGUCAGCAUUCUCCCUCUUUUUGAGGCAGCACUUUGCAGGUAAGCUCCAGAGACCUUCCACCAUCAUCCACCUUUCCAUCAGGCCACUCGCUCUGCUCUCACCCCAUGGGUACCAUUUCUCUCCCACGACAGCAGUGCCUUGCAUCACUUCACCACCUGCUGCAAUUCCUCUUGUUGGUGCUAUUUCUUCAGCAGCGACCGCAGCGAUGAGCACUGAGACCUAUCGCAGCAUCACUGCUUGUCCCCACAAAACCAGAGGGGAACCAAAGGAUCUUACUCAUUGGUAUUGGAGCAGUGUACCCCAUCACCUCCCUCCUGCUUCUGGGCAGCGGUUUGGGAGAGGAGGAAGAGGUGGCUGUGCUCAUCUUGGGGCAGAGAGCUUGUUCCUGGUGUCGUUCUCCACCAUUGUGGGUUAUCUGCAAUGCUUGGGUUUUGGAUAGCCAAAGCCUGGAGGGAGCCUUUUUUGCUAGAUAAGGAUGAUGGUGGCACUGGUAGGGCUGUUAUCUGUGUGGUUCAGGGUAACGCUGGUGAUGAAGCAGCUUUGAAAGCUGCAGCAGGAAUAUGGGUAGGGCCAACACAACCAAAAGUUUAUGCAGUGGUUUGCUGCUGGUUUUGCUACACAGACUGGAGUCAUUGGGUCCUUGGGUCUGAGCUGUGCUGCUCUACAGUGUGCAUGGCAUCAGCUGCUAGAAGCACAGCCUACAUCCUCUGGGCAUUGUGGAUGUAGGCUUGUCCUCAUAAUAUCCCAUGGGCAGAGCUGUAGCAAUGUCCCCACUGUUGAACACAGAGGUGAGGGGCUGCAUUUGGAGCUCCCAUUGCUCCAGCCUGGGGAUCCCCAGGAUACUGUGAGCCCUGAUCCUGUGCAGGGUGCAAAUGGGAAAUACUGAGUGGGAGAAAAGCAGAAGAUUUAGUGGUAACACAGACCUCACACAAAGCAUGGCACCCCAUCUCAAAGGGCUGUUUUUCCCUGCUAGGAUGGGGACAUUCAUUGCCCUAGGCACAGUGAUAGAGCCCAGCAAGCAGCAGGGAGAAGGGCAACCAGCAAAUGAGCAUUGGGGAAAAAAAAUAAUAUGAUAAUAAUUAAAACCCAAGAGCUGUAAGUAGAUGACAGCUCAGCUGGGCCCUGUUCCUUAUUUGCAUAGCCUGGCUCUAUCUGUAUGAGGUGCCUGGCUACCAGAUGUUAGCACAUUUGCAUGUAUGGCGAAGGGAGGGGAUGUGGCAGUCCCAGGGGUGUCACUGUUGGAUGGAGAUUGCCACCCAGUGGCUGUGCUCAGUGCCACCUUCAGCCCUGUGAGCACCUAAAAAUACAGCAUCACUGCUGCAGGCACGAAUCUGCUGCUUUGCCUUCCAUCUGCAAUCUGGGUGCAGGGCUCAGGGCUACAGCUGUAUUUUUGUAUUGACAUCACUAUUAAAGAAUUGCUCCUACUGUCAGCAGCACAACUAUUUUUGCCCCUACAGCAAGUUCCUCACCCCUAUUUUCACUAAUUAAGUGAGUCUCACCUUCAUAUAAACACCUCCCUGUCAGCUGGUGGUGGUCCCUUUCAACUCAGCUGCUGUUAAUGAAGCUAAUUAGGAGCAGGGUGCUUUUGUUGCAGCAUUGGCUGCUGCCUUAGCAGUUGUGUGCUUUGUAGGUGAUGUGUCCUGGGGUUGUGUUUGGUAAAGGGAUGGACUGCUUGGUUGUUCCUUUUUCCUGUUGCUGGAGCUAUCAGGGCAGCAUUGUCCUAUGGGCAUUACUUAUGAAGCAUCUCUUGAAAAUGCUCUGAGCCUGCUAGUAGGCUUUCUGUAAAGCUUCCUAGUGAGCAGAAGUGACUCGGUUCUAAAGCUGAGGGAAGAUGACAAGAUGAUCUCUUCAGGUGGAGUAUUAUUUCUUGCAUGAUAUUUGGGAAGGCCCCAGUGCUCCACAUGGGUUUGUUUCUCAGGGCUUGGCACCCCCAGGGCAAACCUAAUGUCAGUCCUGGUGUGGCUCUGAGCAAGGCUUGGUGAAGAAGAAAUCCCUCUAUUAGUUGUGUUCCUGAGGCAUAGGGAGCAUCCUACAAAACCUCAGCCUCCUGCUUCCAGGAUCACCCAGUGCUAUUGCAAGGGGAAUGUUGCUGCUUGUUGCAACCUGGCUCUGGGGUUGCUUUUGCUUUGUGCAAAUUGCUCUGUGCUCUAUAGCAUAGAAUGGCCUGGGUUGAAAAGGACCA